UACUAAACACAGUUCCUUACGAAAGUGAAGGCAACUAGUACUAGUUAACUGCUUGACAGCCUGCCCAGGAACGAUGCGGUGGUUGAACUAUGCUCUGGUGAAUUCAAUAUGGCUUAAUGUCGUGAUCCGGAGUGAAAACUACCAACACCACCACCAUACUAAACACAUCCACUAUAUUUAUGAAUAAUUUUACGUUCAGUAAAAGGAAGCAGACAGAUAUAUCCAUUUUUAUUAUACAUUGUAGGAGAUAAAUUACAAAGACGGUUUAGUAAUCCACUUGGUGCUGCGGCGGACAUGGCAUUAGCCAGUGCUUUGGCUGGAUCUGGGGCACCCGGAGGCGGGUUAGGGGGUGCAAUGGGAGGUCCUCCAGCGGGUCCACAAAGAGGAGGCCCGGGUCCUAGGAGACGCCCUAGUCAAAGAGGCGCUGGUGGGCGAGGAAUAUAACUUUCUAAAUAGGGCUUAAACAUUUUUGUACAAACGCAUAAUCAAAUGUUUAUAAAAGAGAGAUUUUUAUAAUAAAAGCUUUAAAGUUAUAUAUACGUAUUUCGCUAUAAAAUGUUUAUUGUCGAAUUAGAUUGUCAUAGAGCAUUUUUACAUAGUUUUAUCUGUGAAUAGAGCAUUGCUUAAGGGCGUUUACAUUUUAAAUUAUGUAACUUGGUCUUUUGAAGUUUGAUGUUAGCGUAUGAUACAAAACCUUUUUGUAUUGCAACAUAUAUAUAUAUUUUUUUUCCGUUGAAUAUCUAUGAUUUUCUAUUUCUGGAUAAAGCAUGGAGUAAAAAAAAAGUCGCCCUUCGAGAAAUUAUCCACCUUAGCUGGUAAACUAACAACAUAAUUAAAAGAUAUAUAACUGUAAUAUGAUGUUUUCGGAUAUGUAGUAUCUUAAAACGGUGCAUUUGUUCUUAAAUUUUGUUGUAGAUUUAACCUUUAAAACUAAUUGCACAUUUAAACUCUCAGUCUUAAAUACAUUCUGUGAAAGGAGAUGAUCUUUGAAAGUUUUAAUUUGAGUUUUUUUCUUUGUGAUUUUUGUAAGUAUUUUUUCGACUUGAACUUUUCCGACAUGAUUGUAUGUUUCAUAUCACGUGAUUUCAGUUUCACAGAAACAUUAUUUGUUUUGACGACAUUAAGUUACAUGUAAGUCACGUGUAAAUCACGUGUACCGCUGUCUAUAUCACUUGCAUAUUAUGUGUUAUGCUUGCUAGUAAAAUAUGCCCUGUGUUUUCUAGGUAUUGUAGGCGCCACGGCAAUACAAUCGUUACGGUGAUUCCCGCCAUUUACAAAUGUCUAAUAAAUGUAUGUUAAAAUGUAUUAUUUAUUUUGUUCAAUAAAAUCAAUUAAUAUGAUAAA
This is a long non-coding RNA of Ruditapes philippinarum (Manila clam), 1344 nucleotides long. RefSeq lists it as uncharacterized. The transcript is spliced from 2 exons. NCBI's taxonomy places the organism in Eukaryota, Metazoa, Mollusca, Bivalvia, Venerida, Veneridae. The record is from RefSeq and is a predicted model, not a curated record.